RNAcentral lists this long non-coding RNA (1402 nucleotides) under Apis florea (little honeybee). RNAcentral describes it as "uncharacterized LOC116415513, transcript variant X2". Lineage: Eukaryota; Metazoa; Arthropoda; Insecta; Hymenoptera; Apidae. The record is from RNAcentral.
UUAAUUCAAAAAGUUUAAUAUUUGAUAUUUAAAUUUUCAAACAAAAAUACAAUCUUAGAGAAAACAAAUGAAAUUAAAUAAAAAAUAAAACUUCUCUCGAGUCAAUAAUCUAAUUUCUUCUAAAGAAAUUCUAUUCCAUAAUAGAUCUUCUCCCUUUACACUUUCAGCAUGUCGUCAAUAAAAAAUCAUUUUCCCCACAUAGACUGUAUCACAUAGUAAUCACUUUGGGCCAAUGUGUGAUUGCGAUUAUAACCUCUAGAUUAGAAAUUCGCCGCGAACAAGAAUUUCACGACCGUUGUACACCACACAUGUGUAUUACACGCACCGCCGACGAUACUAGCUGUGGCAACGAUGGAAAACGGUGAUCGCAACAGCGGCACGCAAAGUGAGCCGACAAAGGCGUCUUAUCGCGGUUAAUUUAUAUUUCAAAAGGUUACUGGUACCAUCGAAAGAACGUAGAAACUCUCUCGGCGUUAUUCCACAAGAAAUUCUAUCUGUCGAAAGAUUUAUCAAUGCAUCCAAGAUGAUUUUGAGAAUUUUUCUUAUUAUUAAUUUUUUUCAUGAUAGUGUAUACAAGAUGGCGGACACCAUCUGUAAGCGCGGGAAAUUUGAUUUUUAUAGAAGCGUUCAAUAUGAAAAUUUUUGAACAGAUCCAAUCUUGAUAUUCAAUUCCAUCGAACACAAAAUAUCGUGGUGAAACAUGUGCAACGUAUUAACGUUCUUAGGUUAAUCGAUCUCGGUGGAAGAUCGAGGCAAUUAACGCCAGUAUCGCCAAUCGAUGAUGAACAUUCGUCAUCCGAAGACCGGUUUCUAUCGGGUGAUUCACCAUCAUGGAUUCUAUAAAAUCCCACCAACAAUGUUCCUGUCAUGGAUUUUCUUUUACUUUUAUCACCUUUUUUUAAGUCUCGAAGGAUGACCGAAUGCUCAUUAAUAGUAUCCUAGCGAUCCACGCACCGCCAUUUUCUCAAUCAACAAUCGAGAUCAACCUCGAAGCCUUCCCUAACCUCAAACAUCGAUCAAUUCUCGUCAACGUUCCCGCAAAAGGGAACGCAACGCAUGGCACGACUUUUACAAAGUAGGGAUAAGUUCACCACACGCGGAUACACUCUCCACCACGACACUAUUCAAUUUCUCAUUCAGGAUAUCAUGCAUCAUCUUUUGAGCUUAAAAAUUAUCUCUUCGAUCUUCCAGGAUUUCCGUGGCAUGGCGUCUUGCACAAUCUUCUCGAAUCGUCAUAAAUCAUGUCGACGGAUUGCGUGGGCGGCUAUGGAACACGCUCUAACCCCCUUCCAAGUGAUGCAUAGUAACAUUUUACAGGAUUUUUACGCACCGUCACAAUUCAUCCGUUAAUGACACCGACACUGGUAAAAGUAUUAUAAUUAUAAUUAUAAUUAUUAUUACU